GCUGCCCUCAAGCAGAGCUAGGGUGAAGACAAGAGACAGGACGUGCCCUGUCCGUGAAUCUCCAUCAGGAAUUGACACCUCAGAGACCUCUCCCAAAGCCCCUAGAGGGGGUUUGGCUAAAGACAGUGGAACAGAGGGCAAGGGUCCAGAGGGGGAGCAGCAGCCAAAGGCCACAGAAGCUACAGUGUGUGCCAACAACAGCAAGGUCAGCUCCACUGGGGAAAAGGUUGUCCUGUGGACAAGGUAGGUAAGGGUGGAUGACGUGUGUUUGGAAAGGAGCACAGACCACGUCCAUGUGGCUCCCUAGGAUUAAUCAUGAUACCUGGGUUACAGGGAAGCUGACCGUGUGAUCCUCACCAUGUGCCAGGAGCAAGGGGCACAGCCACAGACCUUCAGCAGCAUCUCCCAGCAGCUGGGAAAUAAGACCCCUGCUGAGGUUUCCCACCGUUUUCGAGAACUCAUGCAGCUCUUCCACACUGCCUGUGAAGCCAGCUCUGAGGAUGAGGAUGAUGCAACCAGUACCAGCAAUGCAGACCAGCUGUCUGACCAUGGGGACCUUCUGUCUGAAGAGGAGCUGGAUGAAUGAGACUCUGGGAAUCAUCUACACAGGACCAAACCCAACAGGCGCCCUGGCACUGGGGAGGCGGGUAGUUGUACUCUGCUUGUACAGUCCUUGCGCCCAGUUUACAGACCUGGAGAGCAGGAGGCCAGGACGAGGACAAAGGCUGGAGGAUGGAGUAGGACCCAGGGGCUCUGCCAUCCUAGGCAUCCUUCAAGGUCUUUUAUGAAGACUUUACAGAUCUCUGUAAAUAGCAUCGAGAGUGGAGUUCAGCUCCUUUCUCUACUUUUUUUUGGUCUGAUGGCAUAUAUUUAUUGUUCUGUGGUCUAAUCGCAGUGUUUCUAAAUGUAAAAAGUACAUAUGUUGGUGUAGCUAGUCCCGUGACAUUGGGACUGCACGAAGACACUGGGCUCCUGCAUCCAGCUGUUUUUAUGGCAAACUAGCUCCUUUCUCCCACACUGGGAACUUUAGUCCACGAGGCUGUCACCAUCCUGGUAGCACUGGGCCAGGCUUUGUAGCUCCUGCAGCAGCUCUGCUACGUCAUCGUGCUCCACUCCAGCAUCCAUGAAGCUGGCCCAGCGCCGCAAGUCGAGUUUGGUGAGGUCUCUGGCCAAGGCUUCCAGGGUCUGGUGCAGGGACGAAGAGGAACACAGUGCCCCAAAC
Molecule: small RNA, 1222 nt
Filed under: Pongo abelii (Sumatran orangutan)
Lineage: Eukaryota; Metazoa; Chordata; Mammalia; Primates; Hominidae
Description: retained intron
Source: RNAcentral